This 504-nucleotide ribosomal RNA is filed under the name uncultured bacterium. RNAcentral describes it as "bacterial SSU rRNA". It matches the Rfam family "Bacterial small subunit ribosomal RNA", at positions 23 to 518 of the family's 1533-position model. The record is from RNAcentral.
CUCAGGAUGAACGCUAGCUACAGGCUUAACACAUGCAAGUCAGGGGCAGCGAGAGGAAAGCUUGCUUCCUGUCGGCGACCGGCGCACGGGUGAGUAACGCGUAUCCAACUUCCCCAUAGUAGAGGAUAGCCCGGCGAAAGUCGGGAUUAAUACUCUAUGUUGUGUCAUGAGGGACAGUCUGAAUAACACUAAAGAUUUAUCGCUAUGGGAUGGGGAUGCGUCUGAUUAGCUUGUCGGCGGGGUAACGGCCCACCGAGGCGACGAUCAGUAGGGGUUCUGAGAGGAAGGUCCCCACAUUGGUACUGAGACACGGACCAAACUCCUACGGGAGGCAGCAGUGAGGAAUAUUGGUCAAUGGGCGCGAGCCUGAACCAGCCAAGUAGCGUGCAGGAUGACUGCCCUAUGGGUUGUAAACUGCUUUUAUGCGGGAAUAAAGUCAGGUACGUGUACCUGUUUGUAUGUACCGCAUGAAUAAGGACCGGCUAAUUCCGUGCCAGCAGCUGC